This 249-nucleotide long non-coding RNA is filed under the name Setaria italica (foxtail millet). RNAcentral describes it as "long non-coding RNA (SITA_LNC006778)". The record is from RNAcentral. Lineage: Eukaryota; Viridiplantae; Streptophyta; Magnoliopsida; Poales; Poaceae.
UCAGUUUGGGAUAAGGCAGAUUUGGCCAACUCCUGCAAUCUCGACUAGAGUGGAGUUACACAAGUAGGUGUUUUUCUAUUUCAAUUAUCUCAUGAUGGUCCAUUACCAUUAAGUAAAGUUUGGCAACUCAUAACAUCUAACGUGACAUGCAGGGUGGAUCGUAAGAAGAAGCGGAAGGUCUCUGAGUGGCACGAGUUCCACCAGGCUUACAUUGAGCAAUAGGAUCAGUUCCAUGACAACGUGGACGAG